Molecule: ribosomal RNA, 1068 nt
Filed under: Scinax nasicus (lesser snouted treefrog)
Lineage: Eukaryota; Metazoa; Chordata; Amphibia; Anura; Hylidae
Description: partial 16S large subunit ribosomal RNA
Rfam family: Bacterial large subunit ribosomal RNA
Source: RNAcentral
ACUCAAGAAAAGGAUCUGAGUCCAACCUAAAGUCCCCUAUUUAUAUUAAAAAUUCCCCCGACUUUAGAGCAAUUCAAAUAAGGUACAGCCUAUUUGAAACAGGAUACAACCUCGUCCGACGGGUAAAAUUUCUUACCUUAACUUUAAGUGGGCCUAAAAGCAGCCAUCUUUCUAAAAGCGUCACAGCUUAAUCUUACAUAACCUUCAAUACCCUAACCUAAUUUUAACCCUCCACUAAUACUGAGUAACUCUAUACCCCUUAUAGAAGAUUUUAUGUUGAAACUAGUAACAAGAAGCAAGACCUUCUCUUAAAUGCAAGCACAAAUCAGAAAGGACAGACCACUGAUAAUUAACGCCAAUGAUCACCAAUCAGCAACCUCCCAAGAAAAACCUAAUUACUCUUGACGUUAACCUGACACCAGAGCAUUUCAAGAAAGAUUUAAAGAGAAAGAAGGAACUCGGCAAUCAUUAACCCCGCCUGUUUACCAAAAACAUCGCCUCUUGAGUUAAAAAUAAGAGGUCCAGCCUGCCCAGUGACAAAUGUUCAACGGCCGCGGUAUCCUAACCGUGCGAAGGUAGCGUAAUCACUUGUUCUUUAAAUGUGGACUAGUAUGAACGGCACCACGAGGGUUAUACUGUCUCCUUUCUCCAAUCAGUGAAACUAAUCUCCCCGUGAAGAAGCGGGGAUACAAAUAUAAGACGAGAAGACCCUAUGGAGCUUAAAAGUUUACUUCAAACGCUAACCCCCUGCAAAGUCAUAGACUACCACAAGAAGCCACGCGCUAUGAAAACAACUUUUAGGUUGGGGUGACCAUGGAGCACAAAAUAACCUCCACGCUGAACAGGCCUCCAAGCCUCGAGCCAAGGGCCACAACCCGCCGCACUAAAAAAUUAACAUCCAUUGAUCCAAUGAAUUUUGAUCAACGAACCAAGUUACCCUAGGGAUAACAGCGCAAUCUACUUCAAGAGUUCCUAUCGACAAGUGGGUUUACGACCUCGAUGUUGGAUCAGGGUGUCCCAGUGGUGCAGCCGCUACUAAUGGUUCGUUUGUUCAACGAUUAAAACCCU